This 856-nucleotide ribosomal RNA is filed under the name uncultured bacterium. RNAcentral describes it as "bacterial SSU rRNA". It matches the Rfam family "Bacterial small subunit ribosomal RNA", at positions 9 to 916 of the family's 1533-position model. The record is from RNAcentral.
GAGUUUGAUCAUGGCUCAGAACGUACGCUGGCGGCACGCCUAACACAUGCAAGUCGAACGAGUAGCAAUACUAGUGGCAGACGGGUGAGUAACAUGUAGGUAUCUGCCCUUUGGCCUGGAAUAACACGAGGAAACUUGUGCUAAUACCGGAUAAGUCUUUACGGAGAAAGCUUUAUGCACCAUUGGAUGAGCCUGCACUUGAUUAGUUUGUUGGUGGGGUAAUGGCCUACCAAGACUGUGAUCAAUAGCUGAUUUGAGAGGAUGAUCAGCCACAUUGGGACUGAGACACGGCCCAAACUCCUACGGGAGGCAGCAGUGGGGAAUCUUGCACAAUGGAGGAAACUCUGAUGCAGCGAUGCCGCGUGAGUGAAGAAGGCCUUUGGGUUGUAAAGCUCUUUCGUCGGGGAAGAAAAUGACUGUACCCGAAUAAGAAGGUCCGGCUAACUUCGUGCCAGCAGCCGCGGUAAUACGAAGGGACCUAGCGUAGUUCGGAAUUACUGGGCUUAAAGAGUUCGUAGGUGGUUGAAAAAGUUGGUGGUGAAAUCCCAGAGCUUAACUCUGGAACUGCCGUCAAAACUUUUCAGCUAGAGUAUGAUAGAGGAAAGCAGAAUUUCUAGUGUAGAGGUGAAAUUCGUAGAUAUUAGAAAGAAUACCAGUUGCGAAGGCAGCUUUCUGGAUCAUAACUGACGCUGAGGAACGAAAGCAUGGGUAGCGAAGAGGAUUAGAUACCCUCGUAGUCCAUGCCGUAAACGAUGUGUGUUAGACGUUGGAAAUUUAUUUUCAGUGUCGCAGCGAAAGCGAUAAACACACCGCCUGGGGAGUACGACCGCAAGGUUAAAACUCAAAUGAUUGACGG